CCGAGUUAUCAACUCCCAAACCCCUGUGAACAUACCUCGACGUUGCUUCGGCGGGACCGCCCCGGCGCCCUCACCGGCCCGGAACCAGGCGCCCGCCGGAGGACCCAAAACUCUUGUUUUAAUUAGUGGAUUAUUCUGAGUCUCAAAAACAUAAAUGAAUCA
This 162-nucleotide unclassified non-coding RNA is filed under the name uncultured fungus. RNAcentral's name for it is "sequence contains ITS1, 5.8S rRNA gene". The record is from RNAcentral. Lineage: Eukaryota; Fungi.